This 468-nucleotide ribosomal RNA is filed under the name uncultured bacterium. RNAcentral describes it as "partial 16S ribosomal RNA". It matches the Rfam family "Bacterial small subunit ribosomal RNA", at positions 28 to 507 of the family's 1533-position model. The record is from RNAcentral.
GACGAACGCUGGCGGCGUGCUUAACACAUGCAAGUCGAACGGACAGGUCCUGCUUUUGUGGGGUGCUCGAGUGGCGCACGGGUGAGUAACACGUGAGUAACCUGCCCUUGACUUUCUGAUAAAUUCAGGAGACUGCGGCUCAUACCGGAUAUGAGCUCCUGCUGCGUGGUGGUGGUUGGUAAGUUUCGGCGGUUGGGGAUGUAUUGGCGGCUUAUGAGCUUGUUGGGGGGGUAGUGGAUGACCAAGGCUGUGAGGGGUAGCCGGCCUGGGAGGUUGAACGGGGACAAGGGGACUAAGGGAGGGAGCAGAAGGCAAUGGGAGGCAGUGGGGGGGAACAUGGCAGAACGGGCGGAAGCGUGAUGCAGCAGCGCCGCGAGCGGGAUGACGUGUUAUGGGUUGUAAACAGAUGUCGCAGGAGAUGUAGCGUGAUUGACGGUAACUGGUAAAGAAGCACCGGCUAACUACGUG